GUGCCAGCAGCCGCGGUAAUACGGAGGGUGCAAGCGUUGUUCGGAAUUACUGGGCGUAAAGGGCGUGUAGGCGGUGUGGUAUGUCAGAUGUGAAAGCCCUGGGCUUAACCCAGGAAGUGCAUUUGAAACUGCCAUGCUUGAGUAUGGGAGAGGAGAGUGGAAUUCCCAGUGUAGAGGUGAAAUUCGUAGAUAUUGGGAGGAACACCCGUGGCGAAGGCGACUCUCUGGACCAAUACUGACGCUGAGGCGCGAAAGCGUGGGGAGCAAACAGGAUUAGAAACCCUAGUAGUCC
Molecule: ribosomal RNA, 292 nt
Filed under: uncultured bacterium
Lineage: Bacteria
Description: partial 16S ribosomal RNA
Rfam family: Bacterial small subunit ribosomal RNA
Source: RNAcentral